AAUUAUAGUGCAGUGCAAGUGCAUAGUGAAAACUCUUCUGUAAUAAUUCGGAUUUUCUAAUAGUUUGGAUUUAUGUAGGCAUUCAUUUUCCCAGCAUAAACGUUCUGGAGAUAUUAUUUCCGCAUGCGAUAACACAAUUGUUCUGUACGUGUGCAUAUAUAUUACUUACAAAUGUAUAAAUACAUUUCUAACGACACAACAUUUUCAUAUUAUUAUAUGUUCUAAAAAAAAAUGUUUUUAUGAGUAUUACUUGAAGCGACAAA
RNAcentral lists this long non-coding RNA (263 nucleotides) under Mytilus galloprovincialis (Mediterranean mussel). Lineage: Eukaryota; Metazoa; Mollusca; Bivalvia; Mytilida; Mytilidae. The record is from RNAcentral.